UGUUUUUUUACCAUUAUUUCAACUUGUUCAGUCUGCAUGGUGGGAUAUUUCCAACUCAUCAAUGUGUGAGACUACCUGAGACCAGCAACGCACCGGGAUGGCCAUGGAGCAACUGGGAAAUAAUUACAAAACAUCCCUGGAAAAGAGGACGAGGAAGUGAAAUCAGAGGGCUCCGCCACCCUUCGGGAAAGGGAAUAAUACGUACAAAUCCCUGAGCAGAUGCAAAUGUCAUCCCCCAGACCACAGCAGAAGUGGCACCUAUGUCGUGUGCCAGACUGUGCUCGAGAGGAGGUGUUCAGCCGCUAUGUGCGAUCACUGAGCAGCUG
RNAcentral lists this long non-coding RNA (326 nucleotides) under Ficedula albicollis (Collared flycatcher). Its description in RNAcentral is "lncRNA (ENSFALG00000027898.1)". The record is from RNAcentral. Lineage: Eukaryota; Metazoa; Chordata; Aves; Passeriformes; Muscicapidae.